Molecule: ribosomal RNA, 2918 nt
Filed under: Aeromonas hydrophila
Lineage: Bacteria; Pseudomonadati; Pseudomonadota; Gammaproteobacteria; Aeromonadales; Aeromonadaceae
Description: 23S ribosomal RNA
Rfam family: Bacterial large subunit ribosomal RNA
Source: RNAcentral
GUUGUAUGGUUAAGUGACUAAGCGUACAUGGUGGAUGCCUUGGCAGUCAGAGGCGAUGAAGGACGUACUAACCUGCGAUAAGCCGUGAGCAGUCGGUAAGAGACAUUACGACUCACGGAUUUCCGAAUGGGGAAACCCACUUAGCAUAAGCUAGGUAUCGCUGCGUGAAUACAUAGCGUAGCGAGGCGAACCGGGAGAACUGAAACAUCUAAGUACCCCGAGGAAAAGAAAUCAACCGAGAUUCCCUCAGUAGCGGCGAGCGAACGGGGAUUAGCCCUUAAGCAUCUUGGAAGUUAGUGGAACGGUCCUGGAAAGGCCGGCGAUACAGGGUGAUAGCCCCGUACACGAAAACAACCUUGAUGUGAAAUCGAGUAGGGCGGGACACGUGACAUCCUGUCUGAAUAUGGGGGGACCAUCCUCCAAGGCUAAAUACUCCUGACUGACCGAUAGUGAACCAGUACCGUGAGGGAAAGGCGAAAAGAACCCCUGUGAGGGGAGUGAAAUAGAACCUGAAACCGUGUACGUACAAGCAGUGGGAGCCCUUCGGGGUGACUGCGUACCUUUUGUAUAAUGGGUCAGCGACUUACAUUUUGUAGCGAGGUUAACCGUAUAGGGGAGCCGUAGGGAAACCGAGUCUUAACUGGGCGUCUAGUUGCAAGGUGUAGACCCGAAACCGGGUGAUCUAGCCAUGGGCAGGUUGAAGGUUGAGUAACAUCAACUGGAGGACCGAACCCACUAACGUUGCAAAGUUAGGGGAUGACCUGUGGCUGGGGGUGAAAGGCCAAUCAAACUCGGAGAUAGCUGGUUCUCCCCGAAAGCUAUUUAGGUAGCGCCUCGGACGAAUACUACUGGGGGUAGAGCACUGUUUGGGCUAGGGGGUCAUCCCGACUUACCAACCCCAUGCAAACUCCGAAUACCAGUAAGUAAUAUCCGGGAGACACACGGCGGGUGCUAACGUCCGUCGUGAAGAGGGAAACAACCCAGACCGCCGGCUAAGGUCCCAAAGUUCUGGUUAAGUGGGAAACGAUGUGGGAAGGCUCAGACAGCUAGGAUGUUGGCUUAGAAGCAGCCAUCAUUUAAAGAAAGCGUAAUAGCUCACUAGUCGAGUCGGCCUGCGCGGAAGAUGUAACGGGGCUCAAACCAGGCACCGAAGCCGCGGAUUCACACUAAGUGUGAGUGGUAGGGGAGCGUUCUGUAAGUCUGCGAAGGUGUGUCGAGAGGCAUGCUGGAGAUAUCAGAAGUGCGAAUGCUGACGUAAGUAACGAUAAAGGGGGUGAAAAGCCUCCUCGCCGGAAGACCAAGGGUUCCUGUCCAACGUUAAUCGGGGCAGGGUGAGUCGACCCCUAAGGCGAGGCCGAAAGGCGUAGUCGAUGGGAAGCAGGUUAAUAUUCCUGCACGACUUGUAAUUGCGAUGGGGGGACGGAGAAGGCUAGGUGGGCCAGGCGACGGUUGUCCUGGUGAAAGUGCGUAGGUGGUGUUUCUAGGCAAAUCCGGAGACACAACACUGAGACACGAGACGAACACACUACGUGUGUGGAAGCCAUUGAUGCCCUGCUUCCAGGAAAAGCCUCUAAGCUUCAGAUUACAAGUCAUCGUACCCCAAACCGACACAGGUGGUCGGGUAGAGAAUACCAAGGCGCUUGAGAGAACUCGGGUGAAGGAACUAGGCAAAAUAGAACCGUAACUUCGGGAGAAGGUUCGCUCUUGACAGUGAAGUCCCUUGCGGAUGGAGCAGUUGGGAGUCGCAGUGACCAGAUGGCUGGGACUGUUUAUCAAAAACACAGCACUCUGCAAACACGAAAGUGGACGUAUAGGGUGUGACACCUGCCCGGUGCCGGAAGGUUAAUUGAUGGGGUUAGCGCAAGCGAAGCUCUUGAUCGAAGCCCCGGUAAACGGCGGCCGUAACUAUAACGGUCCUAAGGUAGCGAAAUUCCUUGUCGGGUAAGUUCCGACCUGCACGAAUGGUGUAACCAUGGCCAUGCUGUCUCCACCCGAGACUCAGUGAAAUCGAAUUCGCCGUGAAGAUGCGGUGUACCCGCGGCUAGACGGAAAGACCCCGUGAACCUUUACUACAGCUUGGCACUGAACAUUGAACCUACAUGUGUAGGAUAGGUGGGAGGCUUUGAAGGCGUGACGCCAGUUGCGCUGGAGCCGUCCUUGAAAUACCACCCUUGUAUGUUUGAUGUUCUAACGCAGGCCCGUGAAUCCGGGUCGCGGACAGUGCCUGGUGGGUAGUUUGACUGGGGCGGUCUCCUCCCAAAGAGUAACGGAGGAGCACGAAGGUUGGCUAAUCCUGGUCGGACAUCAGGAGGUUAGUGCAAUGGCAUAAGCCAGCUUAACUGCGAGACGGACAGGUCGAGCAGGUACGAAAGUAGGUCAUAGUGAUCCGGUGGUUCUGAAUGGAAGGGCCAUCGCUCAACGGAUAAAAGGUACUCCGGGGAUAACAGGCUGAUACCGCCCAAGAGUUCAUAUCGACGGCGGUGUUUGGCACCUCGAUGUCGGCUCAUCACAUCCUGGGGCUGAAGUCGGUCCCAAGGGUAUGGCUGUUCGCCAUUUAAAGUGGUACGCGAGCUGGGUUCAGAACGUCGUGAGACAGUUCGGUCCCUAUCUGCCGUGGGCGUUGGAUGAUUGAAGGGAGUUGCUCCUAGUACGAGAGGACCGGAGUGAACGAACCUCUGGUGUUCGGGUUGUCACGCCAGUGGCACUGCCCGGUAGCUAAGUUCGGAAUCGAUAACCGCUGAAAGCAUCUAAGCGGGAAGCGAGCCCUGAGAUGAGUCAUCCCUGACCCCUUGAGGGUCCUAAAGGGCCGUUGGAGACCACAACGUUGAUAGGUGGGGUGUGUAAGCGCGGCGACGUGUUGAGCUAACCCAUACUAAUUACCCGUGAGGCUUAACCAUACAACACCCAAGAAGUGUUCU